CUUGACUUGACUGUAUUUCCGAGACGUAACCAACUUCAGUGAGCAAUUGCUCACCUUUGAUGGCCACUGGCACGCUGGAAAAGUGUGCUCUUUACGGAUAAAUCCCAGUUUCAACUAUACCGGGCGUGUAUGGCGGCAUGUGGGCGAGCGGGUUUGCUGACUUCAGCGUUGUGAACAGAGUGCCCCAUGGUUGAGGUGGGGUUAGGGUAUGGGAAGGCAAAAGCUAAGGACAAACAACACAAUUGCAUUUUAUCGAUGGCAAUUUGAAUGCACAGAGAUACUGUGACGAGAUCCUGAGGCCCAUUGUCGUGCCAUUCAUCGGCCACCGUCACCUCAUGUUUCAGCAUGAUAAUACACGUUAGUGUUCCAGUUUACGCCAAUAUCCAGCAACUUCGCAGAGCCACUGAAGAGGAGUGGGACAACAUUCUAUAAGCCACAAUCAACAGCCUGAUCAACUCUGUGAAGGAGAUGAGGCAAAUGGUGGUCACACCAGAUACUGACUGAUUUUCUGAUCCACGCCCCUACUUUAUUUUUUAAAGGUAUCUGUGACCAACGGAUACAUAUCUAUAUUCCCUGUCGUGAAAUCCAUAGAUUAGGGCCUAAUUUAUUUAUUUAAAUUAACUGAUUUCAUUAUAUGAACUGUAACUCAGUAAAGUCUUUGAAAUUGUUGCAUGUUGUGUUUUAUAUUUUUGUUCAGUGUAGUUAGACCGGUUAGCUGUCAAUGCCACUAAAACAAUGUACACACUUCAAUGGGGUAAUAGGCUGUGUGUUGUGAUUUGGGGCGGCAGGUAGCCUAGUGGUUAGAGCGUUGGACUAGUUGGACUAGAAAGGUUGCAAGAUUGAAUCCUUGAAAAAACAAGGUUCAAAUCUGUCAUUCUGCCCUUGAACAAGGCAGUUAACCCACUGUUCCUAGGCCGUUAUUGAAAAUAAGAAUUUGUUCUUAACUGACUUAUCUAGUUAAAUAAAGGUAAGCAACAAUGACAAGAAGCUGCCAUGUGGGGAAUCACAGCUGGCUAGUUUUAUCUUGUUUUUCAUACCAUGUCUUGUAGAGGUGUAUCGGUACAAUUUAUGGGGACCUCGGUUCGGCCCAACUUGCUUAUGUGCACAUUAUAAUGAAAAUGAAUGAGUCUUAAUUGGCACAUUUCAAACGGUCCUUUUGUGAGGCGCAGCUAGGAACUACUUCUGUAUGAUGGCAAGUGGUGGGGUCGAAAAACGAAGAGGAUUCUCCAUUGUUUAAAUCUCCAGUUUGGGAACAUUUUGGCUUCCCAGUAGAUUACAACAAUGAUUGACAGUACCGUACCGUUAACUAUGUAGCCACUGCUCAACGAGAAUAGUCUAUGCAGCUGCCAACACCUCAAAUGUGUUGACACAUUUACGGCGGAACCAACCCAGUAGUCCUACCACCGGAGCAAGACGGAAACGCAAAAAAAAGUGCUCGAUCCACAUUACGAACUUUGCCCUCUCAGCACCCAUUUCAGCAAAUGGGUAGUACCCGCUCUAUAUAUGCAAACUAAAUCUGAAUUUGUCAAUGCACCCUGUGUUGGGUUUAGGCUAUUACAGAUGGAUGGACCUUCAGGGCUUACAGAGAGGUACUUAGUGGCAGCCCAUCACAUUAUUUCUGAGUGGGAGAUGAGAAGUAAUGCGCUACAGACACGCCCCCUUUAUGAGAGUCACACAAUUGCGCAUCUUUUUCUCUUUGUAAAAAAAGCAUAGCAAUGUCAGCCAUGUUUCUAUAUUGAUUUCACAUGCAUAUUGCACUUUAUUUUAGUGUUGUUGAGUAAUCAUGCAUUUUCAUUUUAAGAAAAUACAAAAGGUUGUUAUUCCUGAUUUGUGCUCUCUUCAGGCAUUAUAUGAUCAUGGAAUACCAUCAGGAAUACCAACACUUUGUAUUUUCUUAAAUAAACAAAAAUUACUACAUUAACUUUUGCCAUUUAAUUUUCCCGACGUACCGAACCCAACCGUGACCCCAAAACCACAAUACAUACCCAACAGUGGGGUUGGUGAACUGUUACACCCCUAAUGUUUUGAGGUGUUUUGAUUGAUGUCACGUCUAUGCUAAUAUGGCAAGAAGUCGCUAGCCAACUAACGAACAACUGUAAUGGCGUAUUUGAGAGACAAGAACUCAUUGUGCAAAUGUAUUUGUUUUCAAUAAACAUUGGAGGCUAAAUAUAGUUUCUUGUCAACAA
This is a long non-coding RNA of Oncorhynchus masou masou (cherry salmon), 2186 nucleotides long. RefSeq lists it as uncharacterized. Lineage: Eukaryota; Metazoa; Chordata; Actinopteri; Salmoniformes; Salmonidae. The transcript has 2 exons. The record is from RefSeq and is a predicted model, not a curated record.